UACAGGGGGGGCAAGCGUUGUUCGGAAUUACUGGGCGUAAAGGGCCAGUAGGCGGCCAACUAAGUCCGACGUGAAAUCCCCAGGCUUAACCUGGGAACUGCGUCGGAUACUGGAUGGCUUGAAUUCGGGAGAGGGAUGCAGAAUUCCAGGUGUAGCGGUGAAAUGCGUAGAUAUCUGGAGGAAUACCGGUGGCGAAGGCGGCAUCCUGGACCGACAUUGACGCUGAGGAGCGAAAGCGUGGGGAGCGAACAGG
This 253-nucleotide ribosomal RNA is filed under the name uncultured bacterium. Its description in RNAcentral is "partial 16S ribosomal RNA". It matches the Rfam family "Bacterial small subunit ribosomal RNA", at positions 524 to 776 of the family's 1533-position model. The record is from RNAcentral.